Long non-coding RNA from Cornus florida, 3461 nucleotides. RefSeq lists it as uncharacterized. The transcript is spliced from 3 exons. The record is from RefSeq and is a predicted model, not a curated record. Lineage: Eukaryota; Viridiplantae; Streptophyta; Magnoliopsida; Cornales; Cornaceae.
CAGUUGUCUGCAUCUAUACUGACUUAGCUAUUCAUUCAUUAUUCAUGAUCGGCCCACUUGUCACUGUAGCAGAUGCAACAUAUGCCCAAACUUGUUCCAUUUUGAGAACAGGUAUAAACACAAAUCGCAACAAUGUUCUAGGGUUCACGCAGCAAGGCAAUUCGGCGACUCCAGUGCACAUCGUCGGGCUUCAAAUCGACGAAAACCAAACUGGGCUUAAAAUCGACGAAGCUUUCCUACACAGUCCUCUUCUUGUCACUGUUGUGGGCUUGAAAUCGACCACACUGAAAUAGAUCUGAAGCUUUCCUUAAGAGUCAUCUUCUUCUCACUAGUGAGCUCCUCUGCUUCUUCUUCUUGUUAUCGUUGUUUUCUGUCUAAAAUUUUGAUGUUGUUUGGAGAUCGAGCUUCAAAUCGACCACUGUAUAUGAAGAUCUGAAGAGAAAUUCCCUCUAUCUCACCUCUGCGUUUUCCGGCGAACCUAAGCUUCGCCACUGCCUUUUGUCACUCCGGCGAGUUCUUCAUAAAGGGGCCGAGCUUACUCUUUAUCGCGUCUCUCUCCACUCUCGGAUUCUCUUCUCUCUGUCCAAAAUCUCCCCAAGUUCUCUCUCUAUUUCCUCAACUUUCUCAUCUCGGUUAAAAAUUGAAGUGAUGAAAAAGCCAUGUUUCUGAUUCGGAACUUUACUCUUCUUCAACAACUCCAGGCAAAUCUUCUUUGAACCAGGUACAUAGCCCUCCUUCCAACAAGUAUGCUUGAUAAAGAAUAUUGUAUUGGUGGUUGUUUCUAUUGGCUUUUAAGUUUGUCAUUUCUGAUGUCUCUUUGAGUUUGCUUGAUACCUUUUUUUUCUAGUUAUUUCAUGGAAUAUGGUUUUUCUAACAACUACUGCUAUGCAAGGCGGCCACCUAUUCUCAAAUUUCUUUUCCCUCUUUUGAAAUCUUAUGCAAUCAAAAAAUUAUUUUAGUACUGGAAUGGUAUUGUACAUAAAACCUAUAUUGAUACUAUAAUACUAGGAUAAUAAUUAAAAUGUUAUAUAUAUAUAUAUAUAUAUACAUAUAACUGGAUGAGGCAAAAUUUGACAUAAAAUACAGAAAUGGAAUUGUUACUCUGACAAGAUUGUUCAAGACAAUCAUAACAUGAAGAGUAUGCAUUAAGAACAUCUUCUGAAAGAAUUUCAAUGUCAGUACCAAAUUGAGCCAAUUAAUCCAUGAACCAUGUUGGGAGUUCCUAAUCAAAUUCUUUGGCAAAAUAAAUAAACCAAGAGUGUUUGAAAUUUUUAUUUUGAUAAUAAAAUACAUACUUCCAAGCAUCUUGAUAAUCAGAAUCUGAUGAAGUAGAUAAGAAGUUCUUGCAAUAAUAAUGGAGAUGACUGUUUUGGAAUUUAUCUUAGUCAACUGAAAUACAUUAAUGGAAACUGAAAUUACUGCACCCUACAUGCCUUAGGCUCCAUUUUUUUUUUUUUUUUUUUUUUUUUUGGCUUUUUAUUAACUAAAGAUUCAUAUCAGGCUUCAAGGUUGAACUAAUCUCAAUGGACCAUCCCUUUGAUUUUUCCAUUUAAGAAUAUUUUAGUGUUAGCUUUUGAUUGUGCAUGCCUAAUUCUAUACUUUUUUAAUUGGUUUAGCUUUAGUUGGAGGAUCAUCGAAUUCAAACUUGGUGGAAAUACAAUAGUGGAAACUGAAAUUACUGCACCCUACAUGCCUUUGGCUCUAAUCUUUUUUUUUUUUUUUUUUUUUUGGCUUUUUGUUAACUAAUGAGUCAUAUCAGGCUUUAAGGUUGAAUUGAUCUCAAUGGACCAUCCCUUUGAUUUUUUCAUUUAAGAAUAUUUUAGUGUUAGCUUUUUGUUGUGCAUGCCUUAUUCUAUACUUUGUUAAUUGGGUUAGCUUUAGUUAGAGGAUCAUUGAUUUCAAACUUGGUGGAAAUACAUUAAUGGAAACUGAAAUUACUGCACCCUACAUGCGAGUCAUUUUAAGAAUCUCACUCAACAUGCAUAAUUUAUCGGACCACAGUUGUUAAUAACCCUUUUAACCCAUUCUUAUUAAAACUAUGUAAUUAGAUGGAUAUCAAUGGUGACAAUGUGGCGGGAGAAGAAAUAAAGGACCUUACAGACAAUACCGAUGAUACAAAACUAGUAUGGGAUAAUAAUCAACUCGAAGCUUUCAUUAUCUGUAUGGAGGAAGAAGUGAGGGUUGGUAAUCGGACUAGUGGAACUUUUAAUCCAACUGGUUGGAAGAAUCUAGUAAAAGGCAUAAGGGUCCGUACAGGGAAGAAGUAUGCACCGAAACAACUUAGGAGCAAAUUCAACCACGUGAGGGUAGAGUACAAAGCCUUCGUGAGUUUGUUAGUAGAAACAGGCAUAGGAUACAAUGCUAAGACGGGCAUGGUUAUAGUUGAAAAUGAAAGAUGGGCUAUAUUGAUGAAGGUGAAUAACCAUUAUAGUAAUUUUUGAAAGAAGGGAUGCAAGCAUUUUGACAAGCUCACCACCAUAUUUGGAGGCACACACGCUGCAGGUGCACAUGUUAAUACUUCGAUUAAUCCACCAAUUAUCAACCAAGCCCCCUUACAUCAUGUAACCAUACAUACCUCAUUUGAAAUUGAUGAUUUAGCUGAGACGGUCAUGGGAUCAGUCCCUCUCCUAAACCUCAUGAUAAGAAACCAAAGAAAGAGAAUUUUGCCCCCACAUUAAGCGAUGUCAUGGUGCAAAUGAAAGACAAUGCCAACAUGAAAUGUGAUCAAAUUGAAAAGGCCAUAAAAGAAGCUUCAUCAUCUAAUAUGAAAACAGUCCAUGAAGAAUGUCAGGUUGAAGUAAAUUCUUUAGACAAGACAAAAGGUGAUUUUAAGUUAUGUUGUAGUAUUUUGAAUUAGUUAGAGGGCAUUGAUAAACAAUAUGCUAAGGUCACCCAGAUGUUACGUAAUGAUGAAGUUUGGAGGGAUUUCUUUCUGAAUGACCUUCUUAAUGAUAAGAGGGUUGGUUGGAUCAUGAAUCUUUGAUUUGAUGUGUUUCUUUUAUUAUGACAUUGAAUGACUGUACUAUUAAGUAUACUUUAUUUGGUGUAUUCGUUUAUUUCUUAUUUGGUUUUGUUAUGACCUUGGAUGAUUGUAAUAUUAAGUACACUAGUAUUUAUGUUAUUGGGAUGAUUGUAUUGACAACAUCACUAUUUUGCUUGGGAUGAUUUUAUUUGUUGUCUUGCUUUUAUUUCUUAUUUGGUAUUUGGCUUAGAAUGGUUGUGAUUUAUGUCAUUUCUUACAUUUUGUAUUAUACAGAUGGAUAUUAGGACAAUAAUUGAGUUGUACAAUGACGAUGAUGACGAGAAUGAAUAUGUUAUCAUAAUGGCAUGUAUAUUGGAUUAUUAUAUGAAACAUUACCAUAAACUGUCAGCCCCAAAACCAUAGGGCGUGAUAAAGUACGGUUCCAAAAAAAAAAUAAUAGACAGCUCAUUGUAAUUGGAAGAAAACUAAGUAACGAUUA